UACGGAGGAUGCGAGCGUUAUCCGGAUUUAUUGGGUUUAAAGGGUGCGCAGGCGGAGGUGCAAGUCAGCGGUCAAAUUGCGGGGCUCAACCCCGUACUGCCGUUGAAACUGGCUGUCUUGAGAUGUCGAGAGGUAUGCGGAAUGCGCAGUGUAGCGGUGAAAUGCUUAGAUAUCGCGCAGAACUCCGAUUGCGAAGGCAGCAUGCCGGCUCCACACUGACGCUGAGGCACGAAAGCGUGGGGAGCAAAUAGG
This 252-nucleotide ribosomal RNA is filed under the name uncultured Bacteroidales bacterium. Its description in RNAcentral is "partial 16S ribosomal RNA". It matches the Rfam family "Bacterial small subunit ribosomal RNA", at positions 524 to 776 of the family's 1533-position model. The record is from RNAcentral. Lineage: Bacteria; Pseudomonadati; Bacteroidota; Bacteroidia; Bacteroidales.